RNAcentral lists this ribosomal RNA (301 nucleotides) under uncultured bacterium. Its description in RNAcentral is "partial 16S ribosomal RNA". It matches the Rfam family "Bacterial small subunit ribosomal RNA", at positions 509 to 807 of the family's 1533-position model. The record is from RNAcentral.
CAGCCGCCGCGGUAACACGUAGGGUGCAAGCGUUAAUCGGAAUUACUGGGCGUAAAGCGUGCGCAGGCGGUUCUAUAAGACAGAUGUGAAAUCCCCGGGCUCAACCUGGGAACUGCAUUUGUGACUGUAGAGCUGGAGUGCGGCAGAGGGGGAUGGAAUUCCGCGUGUAGCAGUGAAAUGCGUAGAUAUGCGGAGGAACACCGAUGGCGAAGGCAAUCCCCUGGGCCUGCACUGACGCUCAUGCACGAAAGCGUGGGGAGCAAACAGGAUUAGAUACCCGUGUAGUCCCUGUCUCUUAUAC